UCAAGAAACUUCCGCAAUGGGCGAAAGCCUGAUGGAGCGACGUCGCGUGAUGGACGAAGUGCUUCGGCACGUAAACAUCUUUUAUGUGGGAUGAAAUUAUUGACAGUACCACAUGAAUAAGGGGCUCCUAACUCUGUGCCAGCAGGAGCGGUAAUACAGAGGCCCCAAGCGUUAUCCGGAAUCACUGGGCGUAAAGGGUGUCGAGGCGGUUGUAUUAGUCGUUCGUAAAAUCUACGAGCUUAACUUGUAGGCGGCGAACGAAACGGUACGACUUGAGGUUUGGAGAGGUGCGUGGAACUCACGGUGUAGGGGUGAAAUCCGUUGAUAUCGUGGGGAACACCAAAGGCGAAGGCAGCGCACUGGCCAAAAUCUGACGCUCACACACGAAAGCUAGGGUAGCGAAGAGGAUUAGAUACCCCCGUAGUCCCUGAGCGGGCUGGCAAGGCGCAU
This 450-nucleotide ribosomal RNA is filed under the name uncultured bacterium. Its description in RNAcentral is "bacterial SSU rRNA". It matches the Rfam family "Bacterial small subunit ribosomal RNA", at positions 355 to 825 of the family's 1533-position model. The record is from RNAcentral.